GCCGACGUAGCUCAACAGGCAGAGCAACGCUCUUGUAAAGCGUAGGUUAUGGGUUCAAUUCCCAUCGUCGGCU
This 73-nucleotide transfer RNA is filed under the name Anaerolineae bacterium. Its description in RNAcentral is "tRNA-Thr". It matches the Rfam family "tRNA". From Rfam's summary of the family: Transfer RNA (tRNA) molecules are approximately 80 nucleotides in length. Their secondary structure includes four short double-helical elements and three loops (D, anti-codon, and T loops). Lineage: Bacteria; Bacillati; Chloroflexota; Anaerolineae. The record is from RNAcentral.